AACGAACGCUGGCGGCAUGCCUAACACAUGCAAGUCGAACGAGACCUUCGGGUCUAGUGGCGCACGGGUGCGUAACGCGUGGGAACCUGCCCUUAGGUUCGGAAUAACUCCCCGAAAGGGGUGCUAAUACCGGAUAAUGUCUUCGGACCAAAGAUUUAUCGCCUUUGGAUGGGCCCGCGUUGGAUUAGCUAGUUGGUAGGGUAAAAGCCUACCAAGGCGACGAUCCAUAGCUGGUCUGAGAGGAUGAUCAGCCACACUGGGACUGAGACACGGCCCAGACUCCUACGGGAGGCAGCAGUGGGGAAUAUUGGACAAUGGGCUAAAGCCUGAUCCAGCAAUGCCGCGUGAGUGAUGAAGGCCUUAGGGUUGUAAAGCUCUUUUACCCGGGAUGAUAAUGACAGUACCGGGAGAAUAAGGUCCGGCUAACUCC
This 430-nucleotide ribosomal RNA is filed under the name uncultured bacterium. RNAcentral describes it as "partial 16S ribosomal RNA". It matches the Rfam family "Bacterial small subunit ribosomal RNA", at positions 29 to 504 of the family's 1533-position model. The record is from RNAcentral.